This 419-nucleotide ribosomal RNA is filed under the name bacterium. RNAcentral's name for it is "partial 16S ribosomal RNA". It matches the Rfam family "Bacterial small subunit ribosomal RNA", at positions 355 to 776 of the family's 1533-position model. The record is from RNAcentral.
UGGGGGAUAUUGCACAAUGGGCGAAAGCCUGAUGCAGCGACGCCGCGUGGGGGAUGAAGGCCUUCGGGUUGUAAACUUCUUUUGCUCUGAACAAGGCGCACCAUGGGGUGUGUUGAGUGUAGGGGUUGAUUAGCGCCGGCUAACUACGUGCCAGCAGCCGCGGUAAUACGUAGGGCGCGAGCGUUGUCCGGAAUUAUUGGGCGUAAAGGGCUUGUAGGUGGCUGGUUGCGUCUGUCGUGAAAGCUAAUGGCUUAACUGUGGGUUUGCGGUGGGUACGGGCGGGCUUGAGUGCAGUAGGUGAGGCUGGAAUUCCUGGUGUAGCGGUGGAAUGCGCGGAUAUCAGGAGGAAUACCGGUGGCGAAGGCGGGUCUCUGGGCUGUUACUGACACUGAGGAGCGAAAGCAUGGGGAGCGAGCAGG